GACGAACGCUGACGGCGUGCUUAACACAUGCAAGUCGAACGGUAAGGCCCUUCGGGGUACACGAGUGGCGAACGGGUGAGUAACACGUGGGUGAUCUGCCCUGCACUUCGGGAUAAGCCUGGGAAACUGGGUCUAAUACCGGAUAGGACCCUGGGAUGCAUGUCCUGGGGUGGAAAGCUUUUGCGGUGUGGGAUGGGCCCGCGGCCUAUCAGCUUGUUGGUGGGGUGAUGGCCUACCAAGGCGACGACGGGUAGCCGGCCUGCGCGGGUGACCGGCCACACUGGGACUGAGAUAAGGCCCAGCUUCCUACGGGAGGGAGCAGUGGGGAAUAUUGAUCAAGGGGCGCAAGCCUGAUGCAGCGACGCCGCGUGAGGGAUGACGGCCUUCGGGUUGUAUACCUCUUUCAGCACCGACGAAGCGCAAGUGACGGUAGGUGCAGAAGAAGGACCGGCCAACUACGUGCCAGCCGCCGCAGUAA
RNAcentral lists this ribosomal RNA (478 nucleotides) under uncultured bacterium. RNAcentral describes it as "partial 16S ribosomal RNA". It matches the Rfam family "Bacterial small subunit ribosomal RNA", at positions 28 to 523 of the family's 1533-position model. The record is from RNAcentral.